This 268-nucleotide ribosomal RNA is filed under the name uncultured bacterium. Its description in RNAcentral is "partial 16S ribosomal RNA". The record is from RNAcentral.
CUGCUGCCUCCCGUAGGAGUUUGGACCGUGUCUCAGUUCCAAUGUGGGGGACCUUCCUCUCAGAACCCCUACUGAUCGUCGCCCCGGUGGGCCGUUACCCCGCCGGCAAGCUAAUCAGACGCAUCCCCAUCCUUUACCGGCCGAAGCCUUUGGUCAUGAAAAUAUGCAUCAACAUGACAACAUACGGUAUUAAUCCGCCUUUCGACGGGCUGUCCCAUAGUAAAGGGCAGGUUGGAUACGCGUUACUCACCCGUACGCCGGUCGCCAU